GCGAUUGUAGCUCAGCUGGUAGAGCGCGACCUUGCCAAGGUCGAGGCCACGGGUUCGAACCCCGUCAAUCGCUCCA
Molecule: transfer RNA, 76 nt
Filed under: Flavobacteriaceae bacterium
Lineage: Bacteria; Pseudomonadati; Bacteroidota; Flavobacteriia; Flavobacteriales; Flavobacteriaceae
Also listed under: 3 other names
Description: tRNA-Gly
Rfam family: tRNA
About the family: Transfer RNA (tRNA) molecules are approximately 80 nucleotides in length. Their secondary structure includes four short double-helical elements and three loops (D, anti-codon, and T loops).
Source: RNAcentral